Molecule: non-coding RNA, 72 nt
Organism: Phrynosoma platyrhinos (Desert horned lizard)
Lineage: Eukaryota; Metazoa; Chordata; Lepidosauria; Squamata; Phrynosomatidae
Source: the annotation of a GenBank genome assembly
GACAGAGUGGUGUAGUGGUUUGAGUGUUGGACUAUGACUCUGGAGACUAGGGUUUGAUUUCCCACUCGGCCA